Molecule: long non-coding RNA, 155 nt
Organism: Cucurbita maxima (winter squash)
Lineage: Eukaryota; Viridiplantae; Streptophyta; Magnoliopsida; Cucurbitales; Cucurbitaceae
Exons: 3
Source: RefSeq, a predicted model, not a curated record
UGUACUCACAACACUAAAUUUACUCAAGGCAUACAAUUUGCACAGAAAACUUGAUGAUUUCAACAGCAGAAAGAAUGGCAUUAUAUAGCCUUCUGCUAAACCUAAAUAUAAACUAACAAGCCUAGAAUAGACCUUGAGAAUAGGUCUUGGACCUU